RNAcentral lists this long non-coding RNA (1083 nucleotides) under Hordeum vulgare. Its description in RNAcentral is "long non-coding RNA (HVUL_LNC018341)". Lineage: Eukaryota; Viridiplantae; Streptophyta; Magnoliopsida; Poales; Poaceae. The record is from RNAcentral.
GAUAACGUACACCCGUGCAAUACUUCUCUUAGGAAGACGAGCUUGGGGUUUCGAAAUUUACCUUUCGACAUUCGACCAUCAGGAGUAGGCAACUCUAGAUAUUUCUCCUCAAAUGAAGAGAGUUUAACUUACAAAGAUGCACUUAAACUCUUCUAAUUGUUUCGGACAUGAUUUCCCAAACAUUAUGAUGCACUUGGUGAGGUUUAUAAGCUGACCAGUGGAAUUCUCAUAAAUCUUGAUGAUGCUACUGACCUCAUUAGGGUGAUGUGUGUCAGCCUUAAAGAAUAGCAAAGUAUAAUCUACGAACAGUAAGUGAGAUAUAUCCUGGGAUCUUUGGCACAUCUUGCGGGGAGUAAAAUUUCUUUUUUAUCUUCAUCGUCCUUCAACAAGGUCGAGAGACCAUCAGCAAUAAACAUGAUCGGAAACACAGAGAUUGUGGCACCUUGUCGUAGCCCACGCGAUGGUGCGAUGGUGCACAUGGAUGUAAGAGGACACCAUUCAAUUCAAAAGUCUAUCUCAACAUGGCCUCACCCAUCGCACUCCCAAUGAUUAUAUCUCGUCAUGAUUUUUCUUUCGUGCAACCAACAGGAGCUCUACCCUUUCAUAUAGCAGAAGAGAAUUGACUAGCUACUAAGGAAAAUUGAUCUAAAACAAAUACAUAUGUAGCACACACACCAUCCCUAUGGGAGUGCCCUAAGCAAGAUGGCGGUUGUUUCACCCAAGAAACUGGAGUACACACCCUACAACACAACCCAAAGUUGAUGGUCUGCCAUACAAACCUCAGCAACUCACACACCGGCCUCGAGGUCGUGCAGCAGACGCGUCGACGACUGUGUCACCCCAGUGACGAGAAACAACACCCUACAAACAAAAGACUCUCUUUGAGGUCGUCGCUUUGGCUUCACCCCAGCCCCAAGGUCGUGAACCCAAUGAGCCAAUGAUUCUGCCACGCAAGUGACUGGACUCAACACUCUGCAACACAAAAACGACCACCCCUCAACCUUCACACUGGCUGUGAGGCCGUGUUAUCAAUAGUGAAACUACCAGACAAUGCAAGACAUAGAAACAGACCUCCAAAGCGAC